GUGCCAGCAGCCGCGGUAAUACAGAGAUGGCAAGCGUUGUUCGGAAUCACUGGGCAUAAAGGGCACGUAGGCGGGUUGGUAAGUCAGGUGUGAAAUCCCUCGGCUCAACCGAGGAACUGCGCCUGAAACUGUCGAUCUUGAGGGCAGGAGGGGAGAGUGGAACUCUUGGUGGAGCGGUGAAAUGCGUAGAUACCAAGAGGAACGCCGGUGGCGAAAGCGACUCUCUGGUCUGCUACUGACGCUGAGGUGCGAAAGCUAGGGGAGCAAACAGGAUUAGAAACCCUCGUAGUCC
RNAcentral lists this ribosomal RNA (292 nucleotides) under uncultured bacterium. RNAcentral describes it as "partial 16S ribosomal RNA". It matches the Rfam family "Bacterial small subunit ribosomal RNA", at positions 505 to 796 of the family's 1533-position model. The record is from RNAcentral.